AGAGUUUGAUCAUGGCUCAGAUUGAACGCUGGCGGCAGGCCUAACACAUGCAAGUCGAACGGUAACAGGAAACAGCUUGCUUCUUCGCUGACGAGUGGCGGACGGGUGAGUAAUGUCUGGGAAACUGCCUGAUGGAGGGGGAUAACUACUGGAAACGGUAGCUAAUACCGCAUAACGUCGCAAGACCAAAGAGGGGGACCUUCGGGCCUCUUGCCAUCGGAUGUGCCCAGAUGGGAUUAGCUUGUUGGUGGGGUAACGGCUCACCAAGGCGACGAUCCCUAGCUGGUCUGAGAGGAUGACCAGCCACACUGGAACUGAGACACGGUCCAGACUCCUACGGGAGGCAGCAGUGGGGAAUAUUGCACAAUGGGCGCAAGCCUGAUGCAGCCAUGCCGCGUGUAUGAAGAAGGCCUUCGGGUUGUAAAGUACUUUCAGCGGGGAGGAAGGGAGUAAAGUUAAUACCUUUGCUCAUUGACGUUACCCGCAGAAGAAGCACCGGCUAACUCCGUGCCAGCAGCCGCGGUAAUACGGAGGGUGCAAGCGUUAAUCGGAAUUACUGGGCGUAAAGCGCACGCAGGCGGUUUGUUAAGUCAGAUGUGAAAUCCCCGGGCUCAACCUGGGAACUGCAUCUGAUACUGGCAAGCUUGAGUCUCGUAGAGGGGGGUAGAAUUCCAGGUGUAGCGGUGAAAUGCGUAGAGAUCUGGAGGAAUACCGGUGGCGAAGGCGGCCCCCUGGACGAAGACUGACGCUCAGGUGCGAAAGCGUGGGGAGCAAACAGGAUUAGAUACCCUGGUAGUCCACGCCGUAAACGAUGUCGACUUGGAGGUUGUGCCCUUGAGGCGUGGCUUCCGGAGCUAACGCGUUAAGUCGACCGCCUGGGGAGUACGGCCGCAAGGUUAAAACUCAAAUGAAUUGACGGGGGCCCGCACAAGCGGUGGAGCAUGUGGUUUAAUUCGAUGCAACGCGAAGAACCUUACCUGGUCUUGACAUCCACGGAAGUUUCCAGAGAUGGAAAUGUGCCUUCGGGAACUGUGAGACAGGUGCUGCAUGGCUGUCGUCAGCUCGUGUUGUGAAAUGUUGGGUUAAGUCCCGCAACGAGCGCAACCCUUAUCCUUUGUUGCCAGCGGUCCGGCCGGGAACUCAAAGGAGACUGCCAGUGAUAAACUGGAGGAAGGUGGGGAUGACGUCAAGUCAUCAUGGCCCUUACGACCAGGGCUACACACGUGCUACAAUGGCGCAUACAAAGAGAAGCGACCUCGCGAGAGCAAGCGGACCUCAUAAAGUGCGUCGUAGUCCGGAUUGGAGUCUGCAACUCGACUCCAUGAAGUCGGAAUCGCUAGUAAUCGUGGAUCAGAAUGCCACGGUGAAUACGUUCCCGGGCCUUGUACACACCGCCCGUCACACCAUGGGAGUGGGUUGCAAAAGAAGUAGGUAGCUUAACCUUCGGGAGGGCGCUUACCACUUUGUGAUUCAUGACUGGGGUGAAGUCGUAACAAGGUAACCGUAGGGGAACCUGCGGUUGGAUCACCU
This 1530-nucleotide ribosomal RNA is filed under the name Escherichia coli HVH 200 (4-4449924). Its description in RNAcentral is "bacterial SSU rRNA". It matches the Rfam family "Bacterial small subunit ribosomal RNA". The record is from RNAcentral. Lineage: Bacteria; Pseudomonadati; Pseudomonadota; Gammaproteobacteria; Enterobacterales; Enterobacteriaceae.